This is a long non-coding RNA of Nerophis ophidion (straightnose pipefish), 1389 nucleotides long. RefSeq lists it as uncharacterized. The record is from RefSeq and is a predicted model, not a curated record. NCBI's taxonomy places the organism in Eukaryota, Metazoa, Chordata, Actinopteri, Syngnathiformes, Syngnathidae. The transcript is spliced from 2 exons.
AAGCCUCCUGGUAUUGUUUGGCACGGAGCUUCUCCUGGAGAUGGCACUUCAACACGGCGUUCUCUGGGCAGCACUUUUCGAUGACCCCGAUGAGCAGCACGUUGUUCUUCAUGCUCCUCGUUUCUCUCGAUUUUAGCCUCUCUUUGCACGCGGGGCACUUCGACGGCAGGUAGGCGGCCGCACACCUCCGACAGAAAGUGUGACCGCAGGUCAUGCUCACCGGCUCCCACAUCAGGAAGCGGCAGAGCGGGCACUCCAGCAGCUCCAUGGCGGCGAGGGUUAGUAAAAAAAAAUACUAUUCUCCUUUAAAAAAAAAAAAUUAAAAAAGGAGAAAGCAAAAGACUUUACCGCUCGGUUGCGUGUCAUUUACUACACGGACGCGUAACUUAUCUCGGCUGGACGCGUUGUCUUUUCCUGCCGAUUACAUGCAUGCUGAGUCCGCUCCGUCCCAAAUAAUACAACAUUACUCGCUAACGACUCCCUCCAGUCUCUGAUAUAUUCGUGUAACGCGCUCUUUGUCAGCAGGUAACCUCAGAAUAGCUUGAAGGUAGCGCACACAAGCACAAUGCCGCCAGGUUACUGUGUUACACCAUUGCAUAACAUAAAUAAAGACCACGUGACGCAACGGCGAACGGUGAUUGGCUGAGAGGCGUGUUGUGAAACACAAAGAUUUCGAGUUUCAUAACAUAAUUCUGGACGUAAUUUCUUGACUGAGGAAUGAGAAUUUAAAACAUACCCACUGAGAUGGUGCGCAUUUGUCAUUUGUGGCAAAUGCAGAUUUUUUGUCACCGAAAAUCGACGUCGUGGAGGGACUCCCAGGGGGCGCUGGUGCCUAUCCCAGCGACAAUCUGACGGAAGGCGGUGUACACCCUGGACAAGUCGCUGUCUCAUCACAGGGCCAACACAGAUAGACAGACAACAUUCAUACUCACAUUCACACACUAGGGCCAAUUUAGUGUUGCCAAUCAACCUAUCCCCAAGUGCAUGUCUUUGGAGGUGGGAGGAAGCCGGAGUACCCAGAGGGAACCCAUCCAUGCAUUCACGUGGAGAACAUGCAAACUCCACACAGAAAGAUCCAGAGCCCGGGAUUGAACCCAGGACUACUCAGGACCUUCGUAUUGUGAGGCAGACGCACUAACCCCUCUCCCACCGUGAAGCCCCUCCAUUGUAUCCGAUGUAAUCAAUCAAUCAAUGUUUAUAUAUCCAUCCACUCAUCUUCUUCCGCUUAUCCGAGGUCGGGUGGCGGGGGCAGCAGCCUAAGCAGGGAGAUAACACCUGUAAAUGACUGUCUUAGAAUGGCCAAAGGUAUAGAUGUGUGUGUCCAAGUUUAAGGAAACAGCAGGUUCUCUUUUUGUAAUGGAUUUAUUAAAAUGUUUGCAAGCUGGGUAA